GACCGUGUCACCCUUAAAACCCUACCCCCUUUCGUUUCCUUUGUUUUGUCUUCUUCUUUAACUACCUUCUUACCCUAGUCACCGCUCAUCUAAGUUCCCCACCACAGCCCACAUCGUCGCCGCCGAACCUCUCCUUCACUAGUCCAACCACCCCUCAAUUCCUUUCAUUAAUAUGCCCUCUCCCUCUUUCCAUUGAAUCCCCUCACUGAGCCUUUCCUCCUCGUCGUACUCCUUUCCCUUUCCCUUCACCUAGCCUCGAUCAAACCUCCAGCCCCCUAUCUCGCCGCAUCCUCCUCAAUCCUGAUCCCUGUUCUUUUUUUCCCCUCUUCCCUCUUUGCAUUGCGCUCCUCUUUUUCCCGCCGACUGUUAUUCCCGCCGCCACUAGUAGCUCCAGUCACCCCAUUGUUUGCCUUUCUUUAUUUUAUUUUUUUAUUUAGUAUUUUAUUAAUUUUAUUAAUUUCUUUAUUUUAUUCCUCUGCUUCUUUUCUUUAGUAUUCCAUUUAGUAAUUUUAUUAGUUUUAUUUUUGUUUUAUUAUUCCUAAUACCUUUAUUUUUAUGGAUUUUUC
RNAcentral lists this long non-coding RNA (566 nucleotides) under Gossypium raimondii (Peruvian cotton). Its description in RNAcentral is "long non-coding RNA (GRAI_LNC004537)". Lineage: Eukaryota; Viridiplantae; Streptophyta; Magnoliopsida; Malvales; Malvaceae. The record is from RNAcentral.